This 257-nucleotide ribosomal RNA is filed under the name uncultured bacterium. Its description in RNAcentral is "partial 16S ribosomal RNA". It matches the Rfam family "Bacterial small subunit ribosomal RNA", at positions 524 to 776 of the family's 1533-position model. The record is from RNAcentral.
UACGUAGGUGGCAAGCGUUUGUCCGGAUUUAUUGGGUUUAAAGGGUGCGUAGGCGGCUUAAUAAGUCAGUGGUGAAAGCCGAUCGCUUAACGAUCGAACUGCCAUUGAUACUGCUAGGCUUGAGUAUAGUUGAGGUAGGCGGAAUUGACAGUGUAGCGGUGAAAUGCAUAGAUAUUGUCAAGAACACCAAUUGCGAAGGCAGCUUACUAAAGUAUAACUGACGCUGAGGCACGAAAAGUGCGGGGGAUCAAAACAGG